This 473-nucleotide ribosomal RNA is filed under the name uncultured organism. RNAcentral describes it as "partial 16S ribosomal RNA". It matches the Rfam family "Bacterial small subunit ribosomal RNA", at positions 335 to 799 of the family's 1533-position model. The record is from RNAcentral.
ACUCCUGCGGGAGGCAGCAGUGGGGAAUAUUGCACAAUGGGCGCAAGCCUGAUGCAGCCAUGCCGCGUGUAUGAAGAAGGCCUUCGGGUUGUAAAGUACUUUCAGCGGGGAGGAAGGCGAUAAGGUUAAUAACCUUGUUGAUUGACGUUACCCGCAGAAGAAGCACCGGCUAACUCCGUGCCAGCAGCCGCGGUAAUACGGAGGGUGCAAGCGUUAAUCGGAAUUACUGGGCGUAAAGCGCACGCAGGCGGUCUGUCAAGUCGGAUGUGAAAUCCCCGGGCUCAACCUGGGAACUGCAUUCGAAACUGGCAGGCUAGAGUCUUGUAGAGGGGGGUAGAAGUCCAGGUGUAGCGGUGAAAUGCGUAGAGAUCUGGAGGAAUACCGGUGGCGAAGGCGGCCCCCUGGACAAAGACUGACGCUCAGGUGCGAAAGCGUGGGGAGCAAACAGGAUUAGAUACCCGUGUAGUCCCAUG